AAAGCAACAGAGAAGCGAAAGCUGAACGGCGUACUGCAGUAAGUACAGAUACACGGCCACGACGCACCCUUAGAGUGUCGCCCCCACUUUUACCGCAUCGCUGUCUCUUACUCGGCUCUCCUUCACUGUUCAAGCCGCCCCAUGACGGAUCUGAGAGGAGUGCCGCCCAGCAAGGUGAUCUCCACCCCAAGCGGUUUCGUGCAGUGCAGCACGCACAAUGUCCGGCGCAAGGCCGAGUGCUGCGAGAUGAAGGCGGUGCUGAACGCUGAUAUGGAGGUGAUUGACUACAUCUGCGUCUGCAAGCAUCCCUUCACGUGCAGGUCGGCUAGUGAGCGGCAGAGCAAUGGCCUAGCGGCCGCUUCGAACGCUCGCAGAAACGCUCCGGAUGGUGAGAGCAGCGGCGCUGCGCCGCUCGUCAUAGACGCCAGCAGCACGAGCAUGACGGCUCAAUCAAAGCAUCAUCACCAUGGUGGGCAGCCCAGUGCCGCCAGGGCAGCAGAUAGGGAGGCCGGCGUGAGCACUCUCUUCGCCGUGUCCUUUUACGAUGCCUCGCGCAGCCCGCCAGGCCCGAGCACCUCUGCCACCGCUGCCGCCGUCUCGCCGAAACCGUCCGCUAAAGACGGGGAAGAUAGGGGGGACGAGAACGACGAAGGCACGAAGGCUAAUGCAAUGACGAUCAGCGACAGCGACAGCGACACCGAUGACGUGGACUCCCUCGACAACUCGGCUCCGUUCACCGCCGGCGCUACCCCAGCCACCGCCGCCGCCGCAUCGUUCCCUGCCGCUCCACGAGAACGCCCGCGCUACUACGACUCCGUGCAGAACGCCAGCACCGGCGGCCACGCCCCGCCGGCCAAGGUGUGCUGGGGCUGCGGCAUGUCAGGACACGAGAAGCCCGCUUGCCCCAACGCGCUGUGCCGCACCUGCCACCAGAAGCGCGGCCCGUACGGGUCGCCGCACCGAUGUACGCCCGUGGUCACGCCGUCGCCGUUCAUCGUGUACCCGACGCCGUCCGAGUGGCGUGCGGCAACUCAGAAGACGGCGGCCGCAGCGGGGGAGCCGAACGGCAUGGCAGCCGUGCGCUGUGUGGCGUGCAACGAGUACGGUCACUUCGACUGCUCCACUGUGGUGCUGCCCUCCUCGUACGCCUUGGUUGCUUCGUCGUCCACCGGCCCUGCCGCAGUGCCGCACACACUCAUCCCCACCUGCUGCUUCUGUGGCGUCCGCGGGCACACCGUCUUCGACUGCCAGCAGCGUGAGCACGCCAACCCUGACUACUUUGAGCGACGCAACCAACUCUUCGCGGAUUCCGUGCGCCGUGGCAGCAGCAUUACAACAGCUGGUGCGCCCUUCAACAACAGUGGUAGUAGCAGCGGCUACGGACACCCCUCGCAACAGCAACACCAGCAGCGGUUCUACGGCAGUCCCCCCGGCGGGGCACCGUCAUCGUCCUCCUCGUUCACGCGCUACGGCAACCACCGCGGCGGUGGUGGGGGUGGCCAGCGCCGUGAGCGAGACUGGUGCGACAAUCGCGAGCAGCGCGUAGGGGGCAACCAGUACAGCAACAGCCACCGCGAGGGCAGCGCGUACUACAACGACUCCUACGGUGGCGAUCGGGAUCAUCAGCGACGGCGCUACGAGUCUCCGUCGUUCUCUCGUGCCGGCGGCGGCCCUGCCCCCUCGUCUUCGCCUCUUCUGCACGGUCGAGACCGCUUUCAAGAGGGUGGUCAGCGGCACCAUGAGGAGCGGUCUCGUGACAGCUAUGCUGGCAGCCACCAACGCUACUCAGAGGGCGAGCAUGGCGGUGCUGGGUCGCGUGGCCAUGACCAGCGGUUGCAUUAUUCGCAGCAGUCGCAGCACUCCCACCGUCACGGCUCAUCGCGCCGCGGCGGCCGUCUUGGGGACAGCGGUUACUACAGCGACGACAACCUGUUUUAGAGCCCUUGAGAGGUGCGCAAAAGUUACUGUCAUGGUGAGCGGUGAUGACGGUGGUGAUGAAUGGGGCGUGCACUUGGGCUGGGAAGGGUGGGUGGAGGGGAAGGGGUCGAGUGCACGGCGACUUGUGUAACCGCCCGAUGCAUCAGCCAUGACGGUGGCCGAGGCUACGGCGUAGGCCGUUGAACACGCGUCCGGCCCCUCCUUGUUUCGUGCCUGAGACCUCACCUUCACUUUGAGCGUGUGCCUCUGUCUCUGUGCGUUGCCUUGCGCCAAAGGACGUUGACUGUGCUGCGCUGUUCCCCACCCGCCCAUCGCUCAUGCAGCUUCUCUGUGGCUGCAUGUGCACGCGCGUGUGGCUGCUGCUGUAGCUGCGCGCCGAAGUUGAUAAUGCCGUAUACAUAUAUAUGUUAAAGAAGAAAGGCCCUACAUGUCGCCCCAAAGAGAGACACCCCUGCUGCGCCUGUACGCACGCGUACGUCAGUGAGCGCCAGCCCUCGCAGCUGCACCGUUCACGCUGCGCGGACGUCUUCAUAUGAAGGCAUCGAGGAGGAGGAGACUGGGCAGACAGGCCGGCUUCUUUCUUCGGCUUGCUGCCUUCCUCUCUUUUUGCUCUUUCUCUUGUGCACCCGCCGGCGGGCAAGUAGCGCAGCAGCACUCAGUGCUAGUGUCGCAAUGACCUCCAGCUUGGAGUAGGUGUGUGUGCGUGUGUGGAUGCGGUUGCCGAGAAGGG
RNAcentral lists this unclassified non-coding RNA (2668 nucleotides) under Leishmania donovani. RNAcentral describes it as "gene:LdHU3.11.0800(CDS-product:hypothetical_prote in_conserved)". Lineage: Eukaryota; Euglenozoa; Kinetoplastea; Trypanosomatida; Trypanosomatidae. The record is from RNAcentral.